UGAUGAAAAUUUCUGCACUUGUGCUGUGCACUUGGUACCCUUCGUACAGAGCUUCGUAUAUUUCACCAUAGUAAUCCACCACCGAGUUUAACUUCACAACCAGCAGUUGCUUUUCCAUACGCUUUUGUAGUGUUUAGCAGUCUCAAAAUGUCUCAAAAAAAUUUAGAUAACCACGCUAAUCAACUGAAUCCUAAUAAUUCAUCUUUUUAUUCUUCCAGAGGAAUGUCCGAACGGCCCAGUGAUUGGGGUAGUAGCUACCAACCUAAUCCACAGCACACUCAAUCCAAUUUAGACAAUCACUCAAACCAGCUAAAUCCAAAUCACCAAGAAUAUGACCACUCUAGAUUUUCUAGAAGUCAAAAGAAGUAAUUUUUAAAUGUAUACACAUGUAUACGGUGAUGUAGCAAUUUAUAUUGUGGCUAAUAAUAAUAAAUAAAAGCCUAAUUAAUAAAAA
This is a long non-coding RNA of Sitophilus oryzae (rice weevil), 454 nucleotides long. RefSeq lists it as uncharacterized. NCBI's taxonomy places the organism in Eukaryota, Metazoa, Arthropoda, Insecta, Coleoptera, Curculionidae. The transcript has 2 exons. The record is from RefSeq and is a predicted model, not a curated record.